UGACAUGGGGUAAAUUGGGAUCCUGGGGUAAAUUGGGACAAACCUGCGGAAGAUUCUCAAAGUACCUGUAGCACGGAAUCUACCUAAUUUUGUUUAUGUUAAUAUUUAUCAAUGUAUAGAAGAAAAACCAAGUUAACUAUGGAAGUACUAAAUAUUAGUUAAGUUGGUCCCAAAAAUUCGUCAAAUUAAAUUGAAAAUAGUGGUUGAAAAGUGCGUUUUAAAACAGCUUAAAGAACUUUUAAAAAAAGUAAUAUUAUCGUUGUUUUUUCAAUAAGAUCACAGUUUAUAUAAGUUUUUAAUACACCUGGAAAUACCACAACAAACGAAUCUAUUCACGCGUCGAAUCAUGAUUUUGUUAACAUUCAAAACGCACACACAAAUAAAAACAGGCCUCAGAUUUUAAAUGUAACAUUAAUUAAAAAUCCGAGAUAUCCAAUUAUGAAGUUGUGAUUUUUAAGGAAAUUAAAUAAUAAUUUUCUAAAAUAUAA
Bombyx mori (domestic silkworm) is the source of this 488-nucleotide long non-coding RNA. RefSeq lists it as uncharacterized. The record is from RefSeq and is a predicted model, not a curated record. Lineage: Eukaryota; Metazoa; Arthropoda; Insecta; Lepidoptera; Bombycidae. The transcript is spliced from 3 exons.